GCCCGGGGUACCCUGAGAGCCAGAAGCCAGACUGAGCACCGAGGAAAAGGAGAAGAAGAGAAGGAACAGUGAUGAUGGAACAGAGACUAGAAUAAUGUGGUCGCAGGCCAGGGACAGCUGGCAGCCAUCAGUGCUGGAGGAGACAAAGAACGGUUCUCCCAUGGAGCCUCAAGAAGUUAGCAGCCCUGUUGAGACCUUCAUUUUAACACGCUUGGAAGCAAGAAGACCUGCUGUGCAAGAUCUUGCAAAAUGGCCGGAAUGAGACAGAGCAGGCAGAGGUGUCAGAGGAGGAGGCGUGUGACUGCUACGAGCUCCACCUGUGAAGCGGAUGCUCGAGUUUAAAUCUGGUUCUGCUAACUCUGUGACUUAGGUUUAAUUAAAGGAGCUUUUGAAAGAAGAUGAGGCAUCAGAUGUGCUCCUGCUGGCCUGAAAGAAAAGUCACACAACCAUGAGGAACUGGAUCCUGCCACAACCCUGAAUGAGCUUGUAAGUAGAUCAUUCCCUAGCAGAUCUUCUAAAUGAGAACUGAAACAUGCCCAACACAUUCCUCUCAGCCUUGCAAGACCCUGAGCAGAGGACUUCAGUAACUCAAAUCUGGAUUUGUGAUCCAGGUUGAUCAGUGAGUUAUGUUUAUCUAAUUUGCCAUGCAGCAAUAGAAAACUAAUGGAGACAAUAUGGGUAUUUCACUGUCUAA
Camelus dromedarius (Arabian camel) is the source of this 694-nucleotide long non-coding RNA. RefSeq lists it as uncharacterized. The transcript has 4 exons. The record is from RefSeq and is a predicted model, not a curated record. Lineage: Eukaryota; Metazoa; Chordata; Mammalia; Artiodactyla; Camelidae.